UUUCCGUAGGUGAACCUGCGGAAGGAUCAUUCAUAAUAAAGUGUUUUAUGGCACCUUUUAAAAAUCCAUAUCCACCUUGUGUGCAAUGUUAGAUCUCGUCAAUCUUGGCGAGAUUUUUAUACAUCAACUCAUUCUUUAACUAAUUUGUCUGAAAAAUAUUAUGAAUACUUAAUUCAAAAUACAACUUUCAACAACGGAUCUCUUGGCUCUC
RNAcentral lists this unclassified non-coding RNA (211 nucleotides) under plant metagenome. RNAcentral describes it as "partial contains small subunit ribosomal RNA, internal transcribed spacer 1, and 5.8S ribosomal RNA". The record is from RNAcentral.